Molecule: ribosomal RNA, 253 nt
Filed under: uncultured bacterium
Lineage: Bacteria
Description: partial 16S ribosomal RNA
Rfam family: Bacterial small subunit ribosomal RNA
Source: RNAcentral
CACGUAGGGUGCGAGCGUUGUCCGGAUUUAUUGGGCGUAAAGAGCGUGUAGGCGGCCAGACAGGUCCGUUGUGAAAACUAGAGGCUUAACCUCUAGACGUCGAUGGAAACCGUCUGGCUAGAGUCCGGAAGAGGAGAAUGGAAUUCCUGGUGUAGCGGUGAAAUGCGCAGAUAUCAGGAAGAACACCCGUGGCUAAGGCGGUUCUCUAGUACGGUACUGACGCUGAGACGCGAAAGCGUGGGGAGCGAACAGG